CCGCCCUCCCUCCCCCCUCUCACACACUACGCGCCGCUAAUAGAGUGUUUACUUCUUCAGCGCUUCGCGAGCUUCUCGAGAUCCUUUUCUCGGUGCACAUGUGUGUGCGUCUUCCUCUUGCUGUCUGCGUGUGUGUUGGUGUUUUGUGUUGUGCGUCGGCAUGUAUCGAUUGAAGCUCAGCACGUUGCUCUUCUCUCCGUCUUUCCUUGUUGUUGUUUGAUGCCUUCUAAGUAGCCUCGGGUAAAACACAACGAGCGCCCAUAGGCACAAGCACGCACUACCAAACGCUUCGGCAGGCCUCUCCAGAGUCCGGGUUCGCUCCCGUCUUCAAGUGCGCCCUUGUACGAAGGCGCGCUAUCGGAGAGGCACGGCGUGAGAGAUAGAGGGAGGCCAAGCUGCAUGAGUCGGAGGAGUGAAGGACGGAGUAUUUGCCUGUGUGUCUGCGCUUCCCUGUCUCUUCGCCCGCUUGUGAACACACAACGCGACCUGCUCAUCCACCAGGAACGGACGCUACCGUUGUAGUCGUCUUCGCUUUGCUUCGUGGUAAUGGGAGCCCUACCCCUCCCCCACCCCUCCAACGUGCAGAUGCCGCUGCUGUCGGAGUGGACGGAGGAGAAGAACGCAUGCGUGGAUUGGGCGAACCCGGAAGAGGUCUUGUGCAACGGCUUCACGUUCCUUCAGUUGUUGGCCGCUCAUCCACGACUGCGCCAGCACUAUGAGCCGGCGGACAAGCAAUCAGAGCGCUACGCCGUGAAAGACACUUUUCUUUUCGGGUCUGUCGAGGAGAAGGUGGCUUGGCUGACGCGGUGGCAUGCACAGCACCUGCUCUCCCUCCGGUCGGAACGGUGGUGCCGCUUCUGUGGUGAAAGCGGCCACACCCGUCUGCACUGCUCGGAGCGUCUGCGUUCCGCGUCAGCCGUGGCGCCCGAGGGCCCAGCGACCCUUACUGCUACUAAGGGCGCAGGUCCGGCAGCGUCGCCUGCCGCGUCGUCAAAGGAUGCACCGCAGUCGUCGGUGCUGAAGAAAUACCUGGAACACCUGCAGCGUGUGGAGCUGCGCCGCAUCCUUGAAGAAAAGCAAAAGCCGCGGGCUGAGCCUACGGCGGCCUACAGAAGCGGUGCGGUUGCCGCUCGUGCUUCCACAGCUGCCGCGACGAACCUCUUCACAGCAGACGAGCGCCGUCGCGGGACAGUGUGCCGUCUCGACGAGGCGAACAAUAUCGGCUUCGUCACCGUGGCUGGCAUGGGCGAGCUGAAGUUCUUUGUUGACCGCGUCGACGUCGGCGUCAAGGCGGUCGUCGUUGGUGACAACGUCACCUUCAAGCUGGACCCCAGCCGGGACUACCCCAUCGCCGUCGACGUGCGCCACGAGCGACCGGUAAUUACGCUGGAGGACGUCCGAAAGUUUCUCCACCGCUGCCGUGCCGCCCGCCAUCCCAUUAAGGUUAUGGCUACCCUCCUCAUGCACACACACGAGUGGUUUGUGCUGCUGCGCUGGCUGCACGUGCUACGCGAGCAAGACGUACCGCUAUACGUCGAGGCGGUGCACGCGCUGGUCGAGCUGACCACCUUUGUCGGUAACCGCGAGCCGAUUCACGUGCCGGUUCUCAGCGCCUUCUUGGCGCUACUGUGCACUGCGCCACCGAGUACGCCAGCAGCAGCCGCGGCGGCUGCACCAGGAGGCGGCGCUACCACCGUCACUCCUGCUACAUCCACGGCGGCGACUGCGACUGCUGUGACUCCGCCUCUACGGCUGCCUCGUUUCUACCCCGACAUGGUACGGGAUGCGCUAGAACGGCACACCGCCACAGAUAAGUUCGGUGCAUCUGCGGCUGUUGCGACGGCAGCCGAGGCCCGGUUGGCUGAGGACAGAUGGGUGGAAGUGGCGCAGUUCGUGAUUCUGGUGCGCUGCUACAACCCGCUUUCCGACGCGGGCAGCACUGCGAAAGACAGCGCUGGCGAGGCUGCCGUGAGUGACUUGGACACCGCCGCCGAUCCUGAAGCGGCGGUGGUGCGGCAGCUCCAAGCCUUCUUUGCCGAGCGGCUGACGCGAGCGAGCGGAGCAGCCGUGCGACGCCUGCAGCUUGUCCAGGCACGGCUUGCACAGCAGCUGCGGCCAGCGGCAUUGUCUCGAACUGUGGAUACCACCACCGGCGCUGCUGUUCCUGGCAGCGGCUCGUCUGGGGUUGCCCUCAUCCCCACAGCGGAAGAGUUCUCGGUUCCCCCGCCGAGCCCGACCUCCGUCUUUGCGGCUGCGAACUUGCCUGUCAGCGGGGCCGCCACGUACACGGAUAGUGAUACGUUCAUUCGCGACCAGUGCAGGCUUCUGAGGGCCGACACCUUUGAGGCUGUCAGUCGGGUGCUGCCGGCGGUGUGCUACUCCCUGCCGUCGUAUGAGCCGAGCCAGGAGACGAUAUCCGAUAUGCAGCACGCUCGUGUCUACUCGCGGGUGCGGUGCCUCGGCAAGGUGAUGACCAGCGACCGGGACUACAGCCACCCCGAGAGCUACCUGUUGGAGGUGCACCCGCACAGCCCCAAGGCGAACCUGCGGGCGCAACUGCACGAGGGAACGACCGUGUGCAUCUCCACAGCUCUCGAUCCGACCACCAUCCGGAACAACGAGCUUUUCUGGGGUGUCGUGUCCUCUUGCGACGCCGCUCUCAUGGACGUUGGUGUCAUCGCCGUCUCCCCGUGCGAGGGCAGCUCAUCCUUCGAGCUCAUGCGCGCCGCCCUCGACCGCAACGCUGCCGGUGGUCGUCUUGAUCGCUCCUUCCUGCUGGAAACCCCCAUCUUCAUGGCCGGCUACGAGAGCAUAAUGCGUGCGCUCGAGGCCUUCUGCGGCCCGCUGGCGAUGCCGCUUCCACUGGUGCGUCAACUAGUCAGUCCAGAGGCGGCGGCCUCCGUGACGGCUGCCGCCGCAUUGGACAUCAUGGCGAGCCACUCCGCAGGCGCCGCGGCGCCGAGCGACGACGUGGAUCAGCUAGUGGAGUACAUCCCGCCCCACUGUGCGGUGACGUUCCAGGAGCUGACAGAGGAAAUCCGCAGCCAGUUCGCUCUCGACGAGGGGCAAAAGGCGGUCAUGCGCCAGCUUCCGGUCUCGAAGAUGAUCCUCGUGCAGGGCCCGCCAGGAACCGGCAAGUCCUUCAUUGGGUGCCGUGUCGUGGAGGCGUACGUGCGUUACAAGCAGCUCGUUGCAUCAGGUGACAUUCUGCAGAAGGUCAGCAUCGACAUGCUCCGCUCGACCCGGCUGGAGGACCUGCUGCCGCAAGUCGGCCCCAUGGUCGUCAUCACGUACAAGAACCACGCACUGGACGAGUUCCUGCUGGACUUGCUUGACUGCGGGCUGUGGGAGAUGAACCGCCCCCGUGUUGGGCAGCAGCUCACCGCCGGCAUGUCCGCUGCUGCGGCAGGAAUCUCACUGUCGUCCAGCGCCAGCACGUUCCCGGGCGGCAAGCGGGUGGUGCGCAUCGGUGGUCGCUCGCGUGAGGCCCGCCUCGACGGCUACAACCUCGGCGCCCUCCUCCACGGCAGCAUGGAUCGCGCCGCCAUCAACAGCCUCAAGGAUCGACUCUUUGUGCUGAGCCAGCGGCUGGAGCGGCUGACAAAGGAGAUUCACUACCUGGAGAACGGCCGGGUGCCGCGGGUGUACUUUGAGCGGUGGCUGACAGCGGAGCAGCGCCGGCACAUCACCUUCGACGAUCGAGAGGCGUGGCUGGCAGGGGAGAAGUACAUUGGCACCCUCGACGAGGCGGAGGACGUAGUAUCGCCCGCGCACUACCAGUCCCUGCUGCAGACACGCAUGGCAGAGCUGCUCGGCGCACGGCGAACUCAGGCGUCCUCGCCUCACGCGGAUUCGACUGCGACAGCGGGGCCGGCGACAGGCGCCGCAGAGCUGGAGACAGGAGAGGAAGAAGACGUGUCGCUGAGUGUCUUUCAGGAGAUGCGGCGCGAGGAGGAGAGGCGCCAGUUUAACAACCAGUUGCACCAGACCUAUCUCUCCGCCGAGGCGCUGCUUCUUGCCAGCCAGCCGCCGUCGCGGCCGGCUGGGGUGCCGGAAGAGCUCCUUUCCCUCUGGAGCUUGACGCCACGGCUACGGCACGAGUACUACGCGUACCUCAUCGCGAACACCAUCGCCGCCAAAGCGCGCGACUGCCUGACGAUCAUGGAGACGAUGAAGAGCGUUAUCCGGGUGCGCCGGCAUGCCAUGGAUGAGCUGAAGCUAUCUCUGCUGCAGGGCGCGGAUGUCGUGGGGCUGACGACGACGGGGUGCGCUAUGAAUCAGAACCUACUGCGCUCGCUGCGCCCAAGUGUGCUGGUGGUGGAGGAGGCCGCCGAGGUACUGGAGUCUCAGCUGUUGGCCUGCAUGACGGACUCUCUGAAGCAGAUCAUUCUCAUCGGCGAUCACUACCAGCUCCAGCCCAAGGUGGAGACCUUCCAAUAUGAGAAAAUAAACCACCUGAACCUGUCCUUGUUUGAGCGACUGGCGCAGAAGAUGCAGCCGAUUCGGCUGACGGAGCAACGCCGCAUGCACCCGGACAUCUCUCGACUGAUUCGCCCCUUCUACUCGCCGCAGCCCCUCAUCGAUCACGUGUCAGUGCUGGCGCGGCCCUUCCCGGCCGCGUCGGGAGUGGCCGGGGCGGAUCGGGUACCGGGACUUGCCACGCGCGUGUUUUUCUGGAGCCACCGCUACCCCGAGGAGGAGGCGCCCGGCAGCCGCAGUAAGGUGAACACACGUGAGAUCUGUAUGGUGCAGCAGGCCGUCGCUCACCUUGUCUCGCAGGGCGUGCUGCAAAAGUCGAUCACCGUGGUGACGCCGUAUCUCGGGCAAUGCCGCAUGCUGCGCGGUGUGCUGCGGCUGCGCUCCUUGGCGGACGUCCGCGUCAGCACCGUCGACCUCUAUCAGGGUGACGAGAACGACGUCAUCAUCCUUUCUCUGGUGCGAACCGAGAAGCUGACGGACUUCAUUCGGACACGCAACCGCUUGAUCGUCUCUUGCUCUCGUGCCCGCUUCGCCAUGGUGAUGAUCGGCAACGACGAGCUGCUGCGCCAGUGCCAUCACUGGGAGCAGGUGCUAGACCAGCUCCAGGCUGAGCAGUGCAUUGGUGAGAGCCUUCCCAUAACGUACCGUGGCCAGCCAUCAAAGGUAGUGCAUAUGACAGUGGCGGAGUCCGUCUCGGCGGCGGCGCUGGAGGCGGAAUUGACGGCACAGCAGCAGCACCAGCAGCGCAAGACGUAUCAGCGCCGUCCACCCGCCGCAGCAGACACCGCCGAGGGCGUUGAGGGUGCUAGGCCCGACGAGGCAGGCGGCGGUACUAACGUCAACGACAACGGCGGUGCUGGGGAUAGGCCCGAUGGCGACGCCGGCCCUGAUAGUGGCGCGGAAGAAGAUGCUUAAGCAGGCUCGACAACGGUGACGGAGUCAAUAACAGAGAAAACAACUACGGUGCGAUAAUGCAGCCUCGAGGCUCUGUAAGGAAUGCGCGUCGACAAGUGGGCCAGCCAGCACGUUU
Molecule: unclassified non-coding RNA, 5509 nt
Filed under: Leishmania donovani
Lineage: Eukaryota; Euglenozoa; Kinetoplastea; Trypanosomatida; Trypanosomatidae
Description: gene:LdHU3.29.3130(CDS-product:AAA_domain_contain ing_protein_putative)
Source: RNAcentral